Equus caballus (horse) is the source of this 2024-nucleotide long non-coding RNA. RefSeq lists it as uncharacterized. Lineage: Eukaryota; Metazoa; Chordata; Mammalia; Perissodactyla; Equidae. The record is from RefSeq and is a predicted model, not a curated record.
GGCACCAUCACCACCAGCAGCCUCCUCCUCCUCCUCCCCAGCAUCACCAGCCGAACCUCCCUGCUCAGCCCAAUGGACUCCUGCCAGCCCAUCGCAGAGUUCUUGGCGCACCAAUGACUCGGGGACAAUCACUACUUAUUUCUAUCAAUAGAAAGUGUUGUGUCAAUAACGCAGCCAAGAUCUCGCCAAUCGUUAACUUCCAAGAGGAGAAGGUAAACUAGAUAAUUGCUCAAUUCGCUUCCAACAGUCAACAGGAAAACUUUUUUUUUCUUUGCAGUCAGUGACUACUUUUCAUUGGUGACUGAGGUUCCCCCGCCCAGAAGAGGCGGGGGCGCUCUCCGCAACUCCGCGCGCCCUCCCCUCCGCGCACACACUCUCAGGCGCGCACUUCGCUACCCUCCGCGCCCCCCCCCCUUUGCUUUUUCCUCUGUCUUUUUAAUUCUCAAUCUGCUUAACCAGGGUUUAGAGGCCAAGCAAAUCUGAGAUCAAUUUUCUCGUUUAGCUCUAAGUGACAUCAUCUAAAAUCAUUGUGCAAGGGCUAAAUAAGGAAACGGAGUCUAAUUCAGGGGCAAACGCCAGGCUAUAUUUAUCAAAUGCCAAGCUCCACAAAGCCGCGGCCGGGAAGCCUCCGGCUGCGAAAUCCUAAUUUUUCUUGCAUGGUUCCGCCCGGCUGGGUCUGGGCCCGGGUCAGGGCUCCUCUACAGCCCUCUUUCUUCCUCUAGGGCCCAGGGCUGAGCGCUUCCGGCAUCCCGGAGUCUCCGCCGCCAGAACCGAGUCUGGACCAUUUGGAAGACGCCAGCAGGUAAUUGGCCUCCCAAAACAUCCCUGAGAAUUCAAGGCCUUGGGAGGCUUGUUAUGUGUUUGUGGUUUGUAAACGUGAUGCUGAGACAUAAGCUUGCGAAAGACACACUCUAGCCACAAAGUUGAGGAGGAGUUGCAAGGAAUAAGCUGGUAUCACACCAAAAGAAACCUGGACGAGGGCCAGACCCUACCCCCGACACAAACACCCACGCGCACUCUUAUGCCUUUCCACUGAAAGCUGGGAAAGUGAAUUUCUUCUAAGUACUCUGAUAGAGCUCUCUUGGAGCAAUUUAAAUAGAAAUUAUCGAGCGGAAAAGGGAAACUAUUGAUUCCCUCCCUCAACCUCCCUACUGCUGGUGUCCGCACGCCUCCUCAAAUUAGCGCAGGCUGCAGCCAGGGUGUGUGUGCACCGCGGAGCGGCGAGCACUGCGACCUGCGGGGCGCGAGUCUUGGCCACAGCAACGCUUCCGCCUCCCAGAAAGAGAGCGGAAACCUUGCCUCUGCAACGCCCCCCAUCCAGGCCUCGGCCAAAACUCCCCGGGAGGAGCCGUAGAGCGUAAGGAGUGUUUCCGGAAGACACCAGAGGCUGCGACCCCGGCUGCGCGGGUUCUCGCCACCUAAGAGGGCGCCGCCCGGAGCGCGCCCGGAGCAGCGGCGAGCACCCUCCUUGUCGCUCCCCUUUGCAAGCCUGAGAUCGCGCGGAGCUUAGCCCUGUGACCAGGUGUGCCAGGGCCGGGCGUGCACCGGCAGCUGCGCAAGGAGGACUCGGCGGUCACGAGCCCGCGCCGGGACGAAGAGGAAAAGCGCAGAGGUGCCAGCUCAGGGCCUUGCAGCCUGCACGCCCCUGUGAAUGGCCUCCCGAAACAGCCCAGUUUACCAUCUACCUGGCCUGUGAGGUGUGAUCCCUUCAGACUACCAGGCUCCAACUCAGGGCUGGACUUGAUGGAAAAAGAAGUUUAUAAACAAGCAACCCAAUUUCUCCAAAUCAUUCGAGGAGCUGCCUAGAAGUCAAGCAACAGAACCCAGCAAAGUUUUGCUUGCGAUUUACAACGAUGUUGUUGAAACCUGGGAGGUGAACAAUUAGAAGACGACAGCCAAAAUAUGCUCUCUUGCCCUACGCUGAUAGCUGGUUAUGCAAUUGGCUGAUCAGCGUUUUGCAGCCGUCCCCAGAUCGUUGUUCAAAGUCAUUUUGUGGUUAAAAUAAAAACUACAUUCAACAGACA